GGCCCCGUCGUCUAGUGGACUAGGACGCUGCCCUCUCAAGGCAGAGAUCAGGGGUUCGAAUCCCCUCGGGGCUA
Molecule: transfer RNA, 74 nt
Filed under: Candidatus Dormiibacterota bacterium
Lineage: Bacteria; Bacillati; Candidatus Dormiibacterota
Also listed under: 2 other names
Description: candidate division AD3 bacterium tRNA-Glu
Rfam family: tRNA
About the family: Transfer RNA (tRNA) molecules are approximately 80 nucleotides in length. Their secondary structure includes four short double-helical elements and three loops (D, anti-codon, and T loops). Further hydrogen bonds mediate the characteristic L-shaped molecular structure. tRNAs have two regions of fundamental functional importance: the anti-codon, which is responsible for specific mRNA codon recognition, and the 3' end, to which the tRNAs corresponding amino acid is attached (by aminoacyl-tRNA synthetases). tRNAs cope with the degeneracy of the genetic code in two manners: having more than one tRNA (with a specific anti-codon) for a particular amino acid; and 'wobble' base-pairing, i.e. permitting non-standard base-pairing at the 3rd anti-codon position.
Source: RNAcentral